CCAAUUUUCACUAUUGUAAUCACUGCUGCAUCACCCAGUCCAGCCAACAAAAAGGAGACAAAUGCACAGGUAUUUAUCAUGGGUUAACAAUGAAGACCAAGAAUUCUUCAGGUAAUGCUGCAGUUACAAGCUACUGCACUGGAUCGAACUGAAUAAGCACUUGACUGUAUCUUGUAGCCUGUCACAAAGGGUGAUCAUUUUCAAAGACAGCUGUUUGUUGAUGCCAUUGUCCUCUGCAACUUGUUCACUCCUCUGUAAAUCGCAUGACGUCUGGCCUUUCUGAUGAAAACAUUACAUUUUACCUCUACGUUAUUUACAAAAUCAGUAAACAUGGCAUUUUGUGGUUUGUGGAAAAAAUGUUUAAUUUGAUUAUACUGUUAAAGUCUGAAAAGGAGCAAGGAUUUUUUUUCUUACAUACUUCAAUAAAGGUUUGAUGUUUUAA
Anguilla rostrata (American eel) is the source of this 442-nucleotide long non-coding RNA. RefSeq lists it as uncharacterized. The transcript is spliced from 2 exons. NCBI's taxonomy places the organism in Eukaryota, Metazoa, Chordata, Actinopteri, Anguilliformes, Anguillidae. The record is from RefSeq and is a predicted model, not a curated record.